GAGUGCUAUCAUACCAACAUUAAUGCACCAAAUCCGAUCAGAACACCGAAGUUAAACUUGUUUGGGCGAUAAUAGUACUAGGAUGGGUGAUCUUUUAGGAAGUCUUCAUGUUACAAUCC
RNAcentral lists this ribosomal RNA (119 nucleotides) under Salix viminalis (osier). Lineage: Eukaryota; Viridiplantae; Streptophyta; Magnoliopsida; Malpighiales; Salicaceae. The record is from RNAcentral.